Molecule: long non-coding RNA, 1769 nt
Organism: Cyprinus carpio (common carp)
Lineage: Eukaryota; Metazoa; Chordata; Actinopteri; Cypriniformes; Cyprinidae
Source: Ensembl
AGUUCAUGUUUUAAGAUGUGUUUCCUAGAACACCUUCCUUAAUGGUGUGUGAAUGUAUCAUUUAUAUAGAGUACAUUUGAAAUGAGUAUGGUUUUUAUUUCCUUAGGAAUUGUUGAAUUCUAUCAUGAAUCCAAUUAUAUUAUACGAACCAUUUAGGGAAGGGAACACAAAACUCAGCCCUGGAGGGCCGGUGUCCUGCAGAGUUCAGCUCCAACACUAAUCAAGCACACCUGAACCAGCUAAUUAAGGUCUUACUAGGUAUACAUGAAAUUCCAGGCAGGUGUGUUGAGGCAAGCUGGAGGUAAACUCUGCAGGCCCUCCAGGACCGAAUUUGGAGACCCCUGAUUUAGGUGAAGAAAAAAAAAAAAAAAAACACUCCUCAGAGUUCACACACUUCCUUCUCUUCGUUUAUUUCUGUGGAUUGUCACAUUCCAUUCAGCAGAGGUCAUUGGGACACAACAUGUCAUUUUUCAAUCCAAAAUUAAAAUUGUGCAGAAAAAGUCAGAGUAUACAGUACAUUAUAGGGCUGGCCGAUAUAUCUAACGAUAUGAUCAUGCGCAUUUAGUCACUAAAUCUGGCUCCGUGAUUAGCGCUAAAUCGCCAUCACCUGCUUUCAAAUGGAGCGGCACUUUAGACAGAGCCGUAGAUCACUGACAAGCUACGCAAUAUCGCGUUCAUCAUCUGCGAUAAUGAAUGCGAUAUUGCGCAGCUUGUCAGUAAUCUACGGCUCUGUCUAUUAAGUGCCGCUCCAUUUGAAAGCAGGUGAUGGCGAUUUAGCGCUAAUCACGGAGCCAGAUUUACUGACUAAAUGCGCAUGAUCAUAUCGUUAGAUAUAUCGCCCAGCCCUAAUUAUCAUCAAAAGAAUAAAGAAAAAAAAAAAAAACACUAUGAACCCCUUAAAAUCCAGAGGAUGCAAAAAUAUCAUCAAUAUCAUCAUUUAGCACAUUUGGUUUCUGCAUCGCAGUCUGAGAGUCCUUUUUUUCCCCCAGCUCCAGCUUCCAGACACUCCAUUCUCAGACACUUCAGGUGUAAGAAGGCCAGAUGCUUACGCUCUUGAUGAAACUUACAGCUUCGACACCAGUAAAUCAUUUCCAUUAGAUGGGCAGCCAUAUUUCUGAAAGACGACACCUUCUUCAGUGACUUCAAGAACAUCAUCUUUUGAAAGACUGCAGCUUGGCUUGAGAAGUCUGAUUUCACCUGUGGCUCCAGAGACAUCUUUAGGAAGAAUGUUUCAAAAUUAACCAGUGACUGCAUUUCUAUGAAAAUGUCAGCAUAUUAUUUUUAAUAUUAUAAAAGACAUUAGUAGUGAAUAUUUUUUUUAUAAUAUUUACCUAUUUUUGUUAACAUAUUUUAAAUAAUUGCUUUUGCAAAAAAAAAAAAAACUGCACAUUUUUCAGUUCCUCCUACAAAAAUAGACUUCUUUUGCACAUUCAGAUAAAACAGUGUGUGUGUGUGUGUGUGUGUGUGUGUAAGAGAGAGAGAGAAAGAGAGAGACCUACCCUCAAGAAAAGGCUGCUUGGUGUGUAAUCUUGUGGAUAGAAAAUUGCAAGGAUUAUGUAUUUAUUAUUGGAAAUACUAUUAUUAUUAAUGUAUUAUAGUAAUAAUACGUUAUAUUUUAUACUUUGUUUUAUUGCAAGGAACAUGUAUUUAAUAUUAAAAUAUUAUUAAUUUCGACUAAUACUAAUACAUUUUGAUAUAUUUUUUCUAGUUUUGUUUUAUUAUUAAAAAAAAAACGAAUACAUUAAUAAAAUGCAGUUACAAUAUAAACA